This 652-nucleotide long non-coding RNA is filed under the name Trifolium pratense (red clover). RNAcentral's name for it is "long non-coding RNA (TPRA_LNC001966)". The record is from RNAcentral. Lineage: Eukaryota; Viridiplantae; Streptophyta; Magnoliopsida; Fabales; Fabaceae.
CCACCAAAGAGGACCAUCAACCCGAUCCAUAAAGAUGACACUAGACUCUAACUCCCGAUCUCGAAUCAAAAGUAAUCGGCCGAUUAGAAUCCAAAAAGCAGCUCCGCGGGUCAAAUAUUAAUAGAGUAAAUGUAGAAUGAAAAAACAAACUAAACAUAUUCUUACAUUUCAUCAUAACAUCACCAAACUCACUAAUAUCAUUUCCUCAUUUGUGAAAAUAAUCUACCACUUUUUUUGAAUCGAGAGCAAUUUUAACAGAGUAGUGCCCAUUUUUCUCCGCUUUCCAAAUUAAUUUAUCCUUUGUGACUUGAGGCAAUAACGACGUUUUAAUAAUUGCAGAUGCAUUAUCUUGAUCAAACAACUGAUGAAUAAUUUGACAGCUCCACUUUUUGGUGGAAUUAUCAAGUUGCUUUUAAUAUGUCAACCAUUGAAUUAAUCAUGUGGCUCAAAUUUAGGGAAUGAGAGAGAAGGAGAUCAGUUAACUGUAUACCGAUUUAAUACUGCACUGUAGAAAUUGGACAGAAUUACACCUUAUAUGAUUACGAUGAUACGAAAAUCAAUUCGAUAUGGCAAGGCCACUCUUUGAAAACAACAGAAAAGAAAAAUUAUAGAGAUGAAAUGAGGAGAGAGAGAAGGAGAGAUUUUAAAAUUU